RNAcentral lists this long non-coding RNA (6402 nucleotides) under Sus scrofa (pig). RNAcentral describes it as "lncRNA (ENSSSCG00050014272.1)". Lineage: Eukaryota; Metazoa; Chordata; Mammalia; Artiodactyla; Suidae. The record is from RNAcentral.
UUUUUUUUUUUUUUUCUUCCUUAGGCUCUUACCUGCAGCAUAUGGAAGUCCCCAGACUAGGGGUCUAAUUUGAGCUGCAGCAGCCAGUCUACACCACAGACACAGCAACACCGAAUCUGAACACUGCACUUUGAGGCAACGACAGAUCCUUAACCCACUGAGUGAGGCCGGGGAUCGAACGUGCAUCCUUACAGAUGCUAGUCAGGCUCUUCACCUACUGGGCCACAACAGGAACUCCAAAUGCCAGAUACUUUUAAUAUCUUUUAUCAUUCUUUAACUUUAGCUCAAACAAAAUUAAAAUGCAGAUUUUACUGUCCCAUCUUGCAAAUGGAAAAAUCAAGGCCAAGUACAGGGUAGUGGUCAGGAUAUCAUCUCUAGAGUCAAAUGACUGGGGUUUGGUUCUCAGAAUACUUGUAACCACAGGCACCUUGGUCAUCUCUUCUACAAGAUGGGCUAAGAACAGUACUUGCUUUAAUAAAUGAGUGUAUGUAAGACACUUGACAAUGUCCCUGGGCUAGAGUGAGCCCUUAAUGAAUAGGAGCCGUCAUUAUUAAGCCAUUAUUAUUUACCCAAACCCCACAGGAAGAGUCUGACUCCAACGUUGCACUCUUUCCAAAGAAAUACUGUUUGUGUCCAUGAAAACUGUUGUUGUGACAUAUUAACAAGUUUAAAUAACAUAAGUUAAACAGAGCUAGAGACAACUCAGAGAGGCCUCCCCCACCUGCCAUGAUCUCAAGGCAGAAGAGCCAUGGAUGAGCAGAUGUUUGCUGAAUGGCUUUCUUAGGUUCUCUCUUUUUUUCGCAAGUCCCAGGUGAUUGAGACCCCCCCUCUGAUGUCAUCUCAUUCCAUUAUGUUAAACUGAGUAACCAAGAGUCUUCGGAGUAGAAUCUAUAUUGCACUGGCUCUGUAACUUUAAGAAUAUCAAAGCAAAACAAGACUCCUGAACAAGAAAGGAUUAUAAACGUCUCUUUCAGCUCUCUCUGUAAUAUCAGUUGUCAAAGAGAUAAAGACAUCAAUGAACAGGUCAACUGACAAACACAGUGUGGUAUACACAGUACCAUGGAAUAUUUUUCAGUCUUAAAAAGGAAGGAAAUUCUGACACAAGCUACAACCUGGAUGAACUGUGAAGACAUAAUGUUAAGUGAAAUAAGCCAGUCACAAAGAGACACAUACUGAAUGAUUUCAUGUAUUUGAGGGACUUAGUCAAAUUCAUUGAGAUAGAAGACAGAAUGGCGGUUGCCAGGGGUUGGGGGAGGAGGGAAUGGAAAAUUAGUGUUUAAUAGGCACACAUUUUUAGUUUUGCAAGAUGAAAAAAGUUCUGUGGAUGGUUGGGAUGAUGGUAGCACAACAAGGGGGAUGUACUUUGCGCCACUGAACUGGCUACUAAAAGGUAGUUGAGAUGGUAAAUUCCAGAGUUGAGAAUUUUUUAAAAGAGAGAGUAUAUGAAAUUUGGAUGAGACCAAGACAGUACAACAGGAAUAAAACAUAAAACAUUUCUGAGUUUCUUCUUCUAAGACAGACUUGGAAUGGAUCGUGGAUGAGUCAGCCUGGUGGAUGCUCAGAGAUCAAUAAAUUCUAAGAUUCUCCAAGCCUUUUAUUUCUCUGUAAUGCUAAGAUCCAUAGGUCUGGGGUGAACUCCAGAAAGUACUACACCUGUCACUGGGGGCUGGAAGAGAAACCAGAUAAUCAGUUGCUGAGGAUACUAUAAAUGGAGGGUCUUCUAAGGGAGUACUGAUAUGAAAACUUCAGGUUGCUAAAUAGAGAAGGCAGAUAAGGAGGGGUCAGCUUCAACUGGCCAUUCAUUGAAGGCCUCUGUGUGCCUUGUACUGACAUGGGCAUUAUUGGGAAACAAAACUAUAAGGUAGAGUUCUGGACCGAAGGAGCUACCCUCAGGUCAGAAGACAUGAUGAUUUCAUAUAAUCAGGAUCCAAUUCAUUGCCAAGUUGUGUGGAUUUAUUAUAAAUUUCAUAAGAGAUUAGGAUAUGUGGGGGUUUAUAUUAUGUCAACUUGGCUAGACUAGAAAUGUGUUUCCCAGAAUCCUCUUUCCUGGGUGGUUCCAAGUUAGCAUUGGUCAUAAGUGAAAUCUGCAACAUUUGGAAGCAGCCAUUAUGAUCUGAAGGUCUUGGUGGACCAGCAGCAUAUGCUGGUACAUCUAACUCAUGUUGUCACUGAUCUACUGGCUCUCGUUGUCGGAGGGGGUAGCAGCUCCUCCAGGUCCCACUGCAUCUCCUCCUCCACCAUCCCUUAGUUCCAGGACAUGCGCAGCUCUGGGACAAAGAGCACCCUCUUCUAAAUAUAGAUGCAAAAAUCAUCAACAAAUACCAACAAGCCACACUUAACAAUAUGUAAAAGAAUUAAUAAGCAUCAUGACCAAGUAGAAUCCAUCACAAGAAUACAAGGCUGGUUAAAUAAAUGAAAAUCAAUUAAAGCAAUAUACCAUAUAAAUAAAAUACAGGCAAAAACCAUAUUAUCAUCUCAAUAGAAACAAAAAAAUCGAACAAAAACUCAACUCUCUUUCAUGAUAAAAAAAAUAUUAAACUAGAAUUAAAAAGAAACUUCUUCAACAUAAUACACAACAUCUAAGUAAAGAAUUGGUAUUUAUUCUUUUUUGGGGGGAAUUAUGACUCCUUUUUAUUAAAGUAUAGUUAUAUCUUAUUUUAUUUUAUUUUAUUUCAUUUCAUUUUAUUUCAUUUUAUUGUGUGUCUUUUUAGGGCCACACCCACAGCAUAUGGAAGUUCCCAGGCUAGGGCUCGAAUUGGAGCUGCAGCUGCCAGCCUGCACCACAGCCUCAGCAACUUGGAAUCCACGUUGUGUCUGUGACCUACACUGCAGCUCACAACAAUUCUGGAUCCUUAGCCCACUGAGCAAGGCCAGGGAUCAAAGCCGUGUUCUCAUGGAUACCAGUUGGGUUCAUUAACUGCUGAGCCACGACGGGAAUUCCUAAAGAAUAGGGUUUUUUUGGUUUUUUGGGUUUUUUUUUUUAAAAAAGAGAGGGAGUUUCCGUCAUGGCGCAGUGGUUAACGAAUCCGACUAGGAACCAUGAGGUUGCGGGUUCAGUCCCUGCCCUUGCUCAGUGGGUUAACGAUCCGGCGUUGCCUCUGUCUUUGUAGGUACCAAAUUGUCCUCACUCAACUCCACUCCACAUCCAGCUUUUCUUCUCAACUGCGGGCCUUGCUGACCUAGAACAACUUCAAGGCCAGCACCAGAAGUAGGAGCAAGUCUUACACAGACUUUAUCACCACCCCCUGCAGGUGUGUAAGGUCUAACACCUGUGUUGCACCCCUUGUUCCCUCACUUAUGGUGGUUCUGCUGCCCUGAUGGGACCAUAACUGACAGAGCAUGGAACAGUACAGUCAGGCAAAAGAAGUUUCCAUGUGAGCUCAGCCUCGAAAGCUUAGAUUUUUAAGUCAUCAACAUGCUAACUGCUUUCCAGUGUUCUUGUCCAAACAACACUCAUCCAUGCCUGUGGGGUGGACUUUGUUCCAUCACAGGCCAAUGUUAUUUCCAUCUUAGUUCAUACCAAUCCCUAAGAUACAUUCCAGAGCCAGUCCCAGGUAAUAUUUUUUACAAUCUGCCCGAUGCCCAUAGCUUUAUGAUUGCUAAACGCCAGCAAAGGCUAUAAAACUCACCAGAAGUAAAGGGGGGGAGAGUUUAAAGCAAUUAUAUUCAUCCAGUUUAGUGCAAUCACUAAACUAGUGAUUUGGGCUUUGGAAUCCUGGCUCUACACUUUCUAAUCACCGGGCUUUAGCCAAGUUGCUUAAAUUUUCCUUGUCUGUAAAAUAGGAGGAUAAUAUCUUCAUUAUUAGGUUUCUGCGAAAAUAAAAUUUAAAAAUGUGUGUCGAUGGAGGAUAAUGUGAAAAAAAGUAUGUAUAUAAAAGUAGGCGUUCCUUUCAUGGCUCAGCGGUUAUCGAUCCCAACUAGGAUCCGAUCCCUGGCCUCACUCAGUAGAUAAAGGAUCUGAUGUUGCCGUAAGCUGUGGUGUAGGUCGCAGACGUGGUUCGGAUCCUUCUUUGCUGUGUCCCCUAGCCUGGGAACUCCCAUAUGCCACCGGUGCGGCCAUUAAAAAAAAAAAAGAAGAAGAAUUUAUAUAAAUGUAUAGCUGGGUCAUUGUGCUAUACAGCAGAAGUUGACAGAACAUUAUAAAUCAAUUAUAAUUUUAAAAAUUUAAAUAUAUAAAAAAAAUGUGUGUAAAGUACUUACUUUAGUGGUUUUUAAGUGCUCAAUAAUAUACUAAAUAGGUGUGUGUACACACACCCAUACAAACAUCUAUCUCACCAACAGGCCUGGGAGAGUUCCAUUUGUUUGAUCACUGUGUCUUAUCUCUAGUAACCGAGAUGUUUAUUAUACAAUAAAUAAGUGGCUAAAUGGAUGGAUGAUGGAUGGUGAUUUUUGCUUUGCUAAGCAUCUCCAGAACAGAAGGGCCAAUGGGAAAGAAAUGGACCUGAAAAUUAUGAUUUUGAAACAGAAGUUAGGUCAAGGACAUACCUACAGAGAAAUCGCUCAAACCUGCCACAGCGCAGGCUCUGCCAGGUUUUCGUCCUUGGUCCCCCAGGGCUUGUUCUUCAAGCGUCUUGGUGUUCUGUGUUUCUUUUCCAGACUUUUAUGGUCUUCAAAUCCCUUUCAUGAACAUAAUAUCAUUCAACCUUGGCAAUGGGUCACUAAAACAGGAAACACAAAUAGUAGGCCCCCAUCUUACCCUCAAGGAAGGGAGUUUUAGAGAAGCUGAGCAGUCUGUUCUGAUAACUAGCCAAGGGCUAGUUUCAUCAUAAGCCACGGCCUGACCAAUGUCACUAAGCAGGGAUGCAAAGAAAAACCAUGAGGAAAGAUGCUUUUCCAUUAUUAGCAAAAUUAUGGAGACUACAUCUUGGUCUUGUACAACAAGCAUGACACUUCUAGAAGGGGAGCCAGGGUUCUAACUCUAGGCCUGCUCACGGAACCUCAGAGGGGCCAAAAAAAUGAUGAUUCAGGGACCAGGCCCAGUUUAUUAGAUUCAGUGUGCCUUGGGAUGCAAAAGGAGAUGAUGGGAGUGCAGAGUGAGAGAAAAAUCAAUUUGCCAUUGACUGAAUCACCUCACUCUGCCCAUGCUCCACUACUUCACUCUCCCCACAUUUUACAGGGUCAUCAGAACAAAGUAUUCUGUGCCAUCUCUGGAUGGAGGGACAGGAAAGACGAGAAAAGAAGAGCAAUCUUUAUGAUUAUUCCACUACUCUUUGUGAGGCACCAGCUCUGUAGGCAAUUCAUUCAGAAUUUUUCAGAAGUUAGUUCAGAUGAGAAACUGCAGGAAAAAAGGGGCCAGGUUUUUAGCAAGUUUCAUUGCCCUGAUCAUUCUACUUAAAGGAGUUAUCCCUUGUCAUCACUAUUACACCGGCAGGGGUCUAAAUUCCUUCGGGCUGUUAGAACAACACGGCUUGUAAACAACAGAAAUUUAUUUCUGAUUUAAUGAAAAAUAUUUCAGCCUGUGCAUGGAAACAGCCCUGAGACCCCCCCAUUCAUAGAGUCCAUUACAAGUCAAAAACAAACAAACAAAAACUUAACAAUCUCAUUAGUCUAAUACUUUACAGUUUCCAUAACACUAAGUAUGCGUUCCAUGGUUUGUGCAAAUCUGUGAGAUAACUAUUAUUUCAGUUUUAUGGGUGAGAAAACAGAGCCUCAUAAAUGUUCAAUGAGAUCCUCAAGGUCAUACAACUGAUAAAAAGCAGAACUAGAACUAAACGGCCAAGUUCAAGUUUAGUGUUGAUUCUAUGCUUGAGGAAUACUUAAAAGUAAGGUGCUUACUUUUAUCUAGAUCUUUCCUGAUUUAUGGAUCUACAUCCUCUAAGGUAGGGUCCAGUGUAAGCUCUUUACUCUGGGGGAAGAAAUGUGGCCCAAUGGAAAGAGCUUGGGCUGAAGUCCAGACUGGAGCUGCAGGAACCAGUUAUAUAAUCUUGGACAAGUCUCGGCAUCUCUCAUCAGGCCUCCGUUUCUUCUCUCAAGUGGAUGUAAUAAUACUUGACUGUCUGCUUCACAGUGUGCCAUGAUGCUCCAAUAAAAAUAUACAUAUACAGACCUUCUGUAUAGCACAGGGAACUCUAGCCAAUAGUCUAUGAUAAUCUACAUGGGGAAAAAAUCUGAAAAAAAGAAUGGAUGUGUGUACAUGUAUAAAUGAAUCACUUUGUUGUACAGCAGAAAUGAUCACUGUAAAUCAACUGUACUUCAAUAAAACUUUAAAAAAUAAAAAACAAAACAAAACAAAAAGAUAUGAAAAGUGCCACAGAGACAUAAGCUCAACAUUACAAAUGACAGGCCUCUUGUAUCUUGGCCUCCCUGCUUGGAGAUCUGAUCAUGACGGGGUGCCAACUUCCCCUACCCCAUCUUAUAUUUCCAUCUUAUCCUGUGACUUUGCUUUUUUCCCAUAUCUGACCC